AAAAAGUGAAAUCAAAUUGAUUUUUCACUUACAAUGAAAGCUUGUUUUAUU
Molecule: transfer RNA, 51 nt
Filed under: Bothriocroton concolor (echidna tick)
Lineage: Eukaryota; Metazoa; Arthropoda; Arachnida; Ixodida; Ixodidae
Description: tRNA-Val
Source: RNAcentral